AUCGUGGUGGCUGCGCUUGCGAGCACCCUGAGGUAGAUUGGGUGGUUUCAGCAGGAACGCAUCCACUGUCUGAGAGGUGGCAAUUGAAGCCGGAAGAACAUCUACCAAGAGCAGAGAACCCAGGAAGAAAAUUCUGCCUCUUUAAUACGUCCCAAUUUGGACGUUUUCCAUAUAGAUACCUAUCUAUAUAGAUAGAUGCUCUGGGAUCUGACGGUCCUGGACACCUGUAUGGCUGUGUGCUGUGGUCUUUGCCUAGCCUGCGGUUCACUUUUGCUCUGGCCACCACCUCCCCUCAUGUACAAACCGCGUCUCUGCUCUGCCAGUCUUGGCCCCCGUCAGGCAGCGGUUCACUCCCUCACCAGGGAAGUCUAGAUAGAUAGAUAUAGAUAGAUAUCGAUCGAUAGAUAUAGAUAUAGAUAGAUACAGAUAGGUAGAUAUAUGGAUAGAUAUAGAUAUUUGGAUAGAUAUGUAGACGUCUAUCUAUAAAUAUAUCGAUAUAUCGGGGUUCUCAGCCAUCCCAAAGAAGCUUGCACAGGGCCAGUUGCUUUAUGUCAGGAAAAGGGACACAGACUGAGUGUAUGAGGGUUUUUUUUUUUUCUAUAGAUGUAUAGAUAUUUAUAUCAGAUGCAAAUAAGUGAAACUCUCAUACACCUUUUAAUUUUGUGUUUUUUCCAAACUAUUCCAUUCAACUUUUUCUGCCUUUUUAUUUGAUUAUAAUGAGACAUCGUACUGGAGGCAGGCUUGAAAUGGAUAUACAGAGCACUUUCAACCCAGAAAUUUGUCUCACGACUUGGGGUCCUUACUUAAGUUGUAGCUGUUAGUAAUUUCAUCCAUGAAUUCACUUUGUGCCAUAGUGUGAUGUUUUGUUAUGAAGUUGGAAUUGGGAAGGGAAACUAGGAAGUUUUGGGAGAAGUUAAGAAGGUUGAGUAGGCAGGCGUUGUUAUAGAUAUUAAAUUUCACCCUGCUUAUCAAAGUACCUGGAGGGUAUGGUAUCCAAGCUGUAAAUGGCCCAAAGGAAUCGGGGUUCUCAGCCAU
This 1035-nucleotide non-coding RNA is filed under the name Pan troglodytes (chimpanzee). Lineage: Eukaryota; Metazoa; Chordata; Mammalia; Primates; Hominidae. The record is from RNAcentral.